UAACAACCGCGUUAGGGAUUGCAGUGAAAAUCCUUUUUUGUUAUUCUGAGUAAAGCGAAGAAUACACCAAAAAAGAUUGUAGCGGAAAGCCCGCCCCAUA
This is a non-coding RNA of Tenacibaculum mesophilum, 100 nucleotides long. NCBI's taxonomy places the organism in Bacteria, Pseudomonadati, Bacteroidota, Flavobacteriia, Flavobacteriales, Flavobacteriaceae. The record is from Rfam.